UACGAAGGGGGCUAGCGUUGCUCGGAAUUACUGGGCGUAAAGCGCACGUAGGCGGCUUUCUAAGUCGGGGGUGAAAUCCUGGAGCUCAACUCCAGAACUGCCUUCGAUACUGGAGAGCUCGAGUCCGGGAGAGGUGAGUGGAACUGCGAGUGUAGAGGUGAAAUUCGUAGAUAUUCGCAAGAACACCAGUGGCGAAGGCGGCUCACUGGCCCGGUACUGACGCUGAGGUGCGAAAGCUAGGGGAGCAAACGGG
RNAcentral lists this ribosomal RNA (253 nucleotides) under uncultured bacterium. RNAcentral's name for it is "partial 16S ribosomal RNA". It matches the Rfam family "Bacterial small subunit ribosomal RNA", at positions 524 to 776 of the family's 1533-position model. The record is from RNAcentral.